AGGGAGUUUGAUCCUGGCUCAGGAUGAACGCUGGCGGCGUGCUUAACACAUGCAAGUCGAACGGGGUUUAAGAAGGAAGCUUGCUUUCAUUUUAAACCUAGUGGCGGACGGGUGAGUAACGCGUGAGGAACCUGCCCUUCAGUGGGGAACAACAACUAGAAAUGGUUGCUAAUACCGCAUAAUGUCGGAGAGCCGCAUGACUUUCCGACCAAAGGAUUUAUUCGCUGAAGGAUGGCCUCGCGUCCGAUUAGAUAGUUGGUGAGGUAACGGCCCACCAAGUCUACGAUCGGUAGCCGAACUGAGAGGUUGAUCGGCCACAUUGGGACUGAGACACGGCCCAGACUCCUACGGGAGGCAGCAGUGGGGAAUAUUGGGCAAUGGGCGAAAGCCUGACCCAGCAACGCCGCGUGAAGGAUGACGGUCUUCGGAUUGUAAACUUCUUUAAUUGGGGAAGAACAAAAUGACCUACCCAAAGAAUAAGUCACGGCUAACUACGUGCCAGCAGCCGCGGUAAUACGUAGGUGACAAGCGUUAUCCGGAUUUACUGGGCGUAAAGGGCGUGUAGGCGGUCUUGCAAGUCAGAAGUGAAAUUCCUGAGCUCAACUCGGGCGCUGCUUCUGAAACUGCAGGACUUGAGUGCUGGAGGGGAUAGCGGAAUUCCUAGUGGAGCGGUAAAAUGCGCAGAUAUUAGGAAGAACACCGGUGGCGAAGGCGGCUAUCUGGACAGUAACUGACGCUGAGGCGCGAAAGCGUGGGGAGCAAACAGGAUUAGAUACCCUGGUAGUCCCU
Molecule: ribosomal RNA, 789 nt
Filed under: uncultured Bacillota bacterium
Lineage: Bacteria; Bacillati; Bacillota
Description: bacterial SSU rRNA
Rfam family: Bacterial small subunit ribosomal RNA
Source: RNAcentral